Molecule: ribosomal RNA, 392 nt
Filed under: uncultured Gammaproteobacteria bacterium
Lineage: Bacteria; Pseudomonadati; Pseudomonadota; Gammaproteobacteria
Description: bacterial SSU rRNA
Rfam family: Bacterial small subunit ribosomal RNA
Source: RNAcentral
AAUGGGGGCAACCCUGAUCUAGCCAUGCCGCGUGAGUGAUGAAGGCCUUAGGGUCGUAAAGCUCUUUCGCCUGUGAUGAUAAUGACAGUAGCAGGUAAAGAAACCCCGGCUAACUCCGUGCCAGCAGCCGCGGUAAUACGGAGGGGGUUAGCGUUGUUCGGAAUUACUGGGCGUAAAGCGCGCGUAGGCGGAUUAGAAAGUUGGGGGUGGAAUCCCGGGGCUCAACCCCGGAACUGCCUCCAAAACUGCUAGUCUAGAGUUCGAGAGAGGUGAGUGGAAUUCCGAGUGUAGAGGUGAAAUUCGUAGAUAUUCGGAGGAACACCAGUGGCGAAGGCGGCUCACUGGCUCGAUACUGACGCUGAGGUGCGAAAGUGUGGGGAGCAAACAGGAUU